RNAcentral lists this ribosomal RNA (293 nucleotides) under uncultured bacterium. Its description in RNAcentral is "partial 16S ribosomal RNA". It matches the Rfam family "Bacterial small subunit ribosomal RNA", at positions 505 to 796 of the family's 1533-position model. The record is from RNAcentral.
GUGCCAGCCGCCGCGGUAAUACGUAGGGGGCGAGCGUUGUCCGGAUUUAUUGGGCGUAAAGAGCUCGUAGGCGGUUUGGCAAGUCGGGUGUGAAAACUCCGGGCUCAACUCGGAGACGCCACUCGAUACUGCCAUGACUCGAGUCCGGUAGGGGAGUGCGGAAUUCCUGGUGUAGCGGUGAAAUGCGCAGAUAUCAGGAGGAACACCGGUGGCGAAGGCGGCACUCUGGGCCGGUACUGACGCUGAGGAGCGAAAGCGUGGGGAGCGAACAGGAUUAGAAACCCUGGUAGUCC